GACAGUCUCAGUUCGGAUUGAAGGCUGAAAUUCGCCUUCAUGAAGCCGGAAUUGCUAGUAAUGGCAGGUCAGCAUACUGCCGUGAAUACGUUCCCGGGCCUUGUACACACCGCCCGUCACACCAUGGGAGUCGGUAACACCCGAAGUCGGUAGCCUAACCGUAAGGAGGGCGCCGCCGAAGGUGGGAUUGAUGACUGGGGUGAAGUCGUAACAAGGUAAC
Molecule: ribosomal RNA, 220 nt
Filed under: uncultured bacterium
Lineage: Bacteria
Description: partial 16S ribosomal RNA
Rfam family: Bacterial small subunit ribosomal RNA
Source: RNAcentral